Molecule: long non-coding RNA, 3607 nt
Organism: Bos indicus x Bos taurus (hybrid cattle)
Lineage: Eukaryota; Metazoa; Chordata; Mammalia; Artiodactyla; Bovidae
Source: Ensembl
AUGUGUAUGUGUGUUAAAUAUUUUGUAACAUCUAAUUUAAGAAGAAGUUCAACCAUAAAAAAAACAAAAGAAGUCCGACUAAGCCAAGAGCGGAAAUGGUCAGAGUUCAGUCCCCACCCACUAAAGCCUCAGGCCAGAUCUGGAAUAGAGAUCUCAAGAGCACAGGCCUUUGAAGAGGCAGCUCUGAUGGCUCGUAGGGUGCUGAGUGCCAUCCUGAUGUUUCAGUGCCCAGAAAGGUCAGCACAUCUCUUGGGUGAAUUUCAGAGGGGACUGAUAAACAUCUUGGGAGACUGGAAGAAAAGAUCAAAGGGAUCAGAGGAUGGCCAGUUUUAGGUAUGCUGGCACUGAAGAAUGAGAGAAGAACUUUCCAGUUACGAGCACCCAAGGACCAGAAGAGGAAGGAACACAUUUCAAAUGGAAUCUACCCAGUUGGAGACCAAAGAAGACUGUCCAAAUCUCUGUACUCAUCUUGGCUGUGGGGUCCUGGUAAGAUCUUUUUCCUAAACUAGCUGUGAGAAGCAGCUUACAGUUCAGAUCUCUUCAUCUUUAUCUCAGUUUUAAACUUCCCUGCUCAAAGAAAACUCCAACACUUUGCUCUGCAAGCACCUGCCUGGGUUGGCAUUCCAUGAGCAGGUGCCACCUAGUUUAGCCUGACUGGGGACAGCAGGGCAGCCCCAACAGAUGGAAGAGCUGGCAGAGACCCUGCCUCGUUCAUGUCUGGCUGACCAUGGGGGCAAGAGCUGACACAAAGGCAAGUUUGUCCUUCUGCUAAGGCCAGUGUCCAAAUCCUACAACUCUCCCAGAGUGUCCUUCUACAGAGAGACUGGAGAGGAUGCCCUAGGCUUGGCUCCUAUUGAUUCGGGGUGCUGUGUGUCUUCCUUGUGAGGUCAACUGAGUCCAGUGAGCAGCUCCGUCUGACUACUGACUUCCUCUCUCUGCUCCCCUAAUCUGGGAUCCCUUGGGCAACCUCGCUUCCCCCCAAGAUGGGCGAGUAUACUUGAGGCAUCCCUGAGGGGUGGGGUUUGGGCCCCCUGCCCACUAAACAUCUACACUCUUUUUACUGAUGGGAAUCCAGGAGGAGGGAUGGGGACCUGAAAAGGCAAAGAACCAACGGCAAGCAUGCCUCUGGGGUCUCCACUGGAAAGAAGUCAAACUUAGAAGCUAGAUGGAACGGUUGGGGCAGCAGGCCUAAGAGGCAACGCUGUGUCUUCAUUGUAGAGGACUGGCUCAUGUGUGCCUGAGAUUAUUUAGACUUUCUCUUUUUAACUGGGAUUGACUCUUGUGAUUGGUGAUGCAGGGAAAGAUCAAGAACUCUGCCAUUUCAGUCCUGGGUGCCUAUGGGGCCAGGGACAAGACAUGGCAGUCAGGAAGGCCUCUCUGGCCAGGCCCCUGCCAGAACCACUUGACCUUAUGACUGAUGAUGGCCUCUUCAGAAGGCUUCUUCAAUUCCUGGACAAUGCUCAAGUCUUGAGUGCUCCUACCUUCAAAGUCUAGAAUAGGCAGUAGCCUCUAAAAUGUUCUCUAGGCACAGAGACAAACCUAGACAAUGUAUUAAAAAGCCGAGAUACCACUUUUCAGACAAAGGUCCGUACUGUCAAAGCUAUGGUCUUUCCAGUAGUCAUGAACAGAUGUGAGAGUUGAACCAUGAAGAAGGCUGAGAACCGAAGAACUGAUGCUUUUGAACUGUGGUACUGGAGAAGACUCUUGAGAGUUACUUGGACUGCAUAGAGAUCAAACUAGUCAAUCCUAAAGGAAAUCAACCUGAAUAUUCAUUGGAAGGACUGAUGCUGAAGCUGAAGCUCCAGUACUUUGGCCACCUGAGUCGAAGAACCAACUCAUUGGAAAAGAUUCUGUUGCUUUUCAGACAGAGUCAGAUUGAAGGCAAAAGGAGAAGGGGACGGCAGAGGAAGAGAUGGUUAGAUAGCAUCACUGACUCAAUGGAUAUGCAUUUGAGCAAACUGGGAGAUAAUGGAGGACAGAGGAGUGUGGCCUGCUGCAAUCCAUGGGGCCUGAAAGGGUCAAACACGGCUUAGUGACUAAACAACAGCAACUAGGCACAGAGGGCGUGACUACUCCUAUGCCCUGCAGCCUGUGGAGCGCCUGACCCUAGGGGUUGCCAUCUGCACUGUGGUCUACAUGACUGGCACCUCCCAGUGCGGUGGGAGGCACCAUUUGCUCAGCUGCACACCGUGAUCCUGCCAGCCCCCUCCAGUGGCGCUCCCAGUCCAGAAAAGGAGGCAUGUUGAGUCCCAGUCUCCUUCAUUCUCUCCUCACCCUUCUGCUAAGUGCACUGUGGACUCCCUCCCUACAGGGUUCCCUUCCCCAGUCUCCCUUCCUUCCCCUAUUCUGACCAGCCUUUAGCACAAGGACCAGGUCAUUGCACAGGCCGGGUGGAGGGAAAACCUGAGCCCACCACACAUCCGUGACCCCUGCCAGGCUGACAUCACAGGAAUCUUCUUCUCAGCCCUCAGGGUGACUUCAAGGCCAAGAGAGGGUCAGCUGUGCGGUUUCCCAGGUGCUUCUGCCAUUCAGCCCUCCCCCUGGGACACUCUGUGGGUCCUGCUCUAUGAAGGACUGAGGGGUCAGAGGGUGGGAUUGAGAAACAGCUUCCGCACCAUCCCUGCCUUCUGGUGACCAGACCCUCUGUGCCCCUUUCUGCCCACUCCUGGGCCUUUCUCUCCUGCCCCUGCUUGCCUUCGGUCCCACAGAGAGGGAACUAACAGCCCUGCGUCCCUUUCCCCUUCCUGGUGCCAAGGAAUCUUCUUCCUCCCCAUGCUCUGAGUCAGAGCCCAGUCACCUUCGAAUAGCAGAAGAGUGAGUCAGAGAGAGAUGAGGGUCUUAGUUGGGUAGAUAGUGGUGUCCAGGGUACCCUGGGGUUGUAGGCUACACAAAGCUGAGAUAAGGCUUACCUUGCAAUAAUAUGGUCACAGUUAGUGGGAAAGGGAUAUGUGUGUGUGUAUACAUACAUACAUACAUACAUAUAUAUAUUUGUUGUUUUUCAGUCACUCAGUCGUGUCUGACUCUGCGACUCCCAUGGACUUCAGCACACCAGGCUUCCCUGUCCUUCACGAUCUCCCGGAAUUUGCUCAAACUCAUCUCCAUUGAAUCAGUGAUGCUAUCCAACCAUCUCAUCCUGUGUCAUCCCCUUCUCCUCCUGCCUUCAAUCUUUGCCAUCAUCAGAGUCUUUCCCAAUGAAUCAGCUCUUCACAUCCAGUGGCCCAAGUAUUAGCACAACAUCCAUCAUCAAGUAGGCACUGGAUAAAGAGUGCCGCUCUUUGUCUCAUCAUAAUCUUGUCUUCGGGCUUCCUGGUGGUCCAGUGUUUAAGAAUCUGCCUGCCAACGCAGGGGACACGAUUCAGUCCCUGGUUGGGGAAGAUCCCACAUGCUGCGGGGCAGCUAAGCCCAGGAACACAACUACUGAAGCCCUCGCGUGCCUGUGUUCCGCAACUAGAGAAGUGGCCACAGUGAGAAGCCUAUGCACCUCAACUAGAGAAUAGCCCCUGCUCUCCACAGCUAGAGAAAAGCCCGUUCGCAACAACAAAGACCCAGUGCAACCAGAAAUAUAUUAAAAAAUAAAUAAAAUUUUUUUAAAUGGGUUGUUUUAAGG